GGCUCUAUGGUCCAGUUGGUCACGGAUACCCCGCUGUCUACGGGGAGACCUCGGUUCAAAUCCGAGUAGAGUCG
Molecule: transfer RNA, 74 nt
Filed under: Bigelowiella natans CCMP2755
Lineage: Eukaryota; Cercozoa; Chlorarachniophyceae
Description: tRNA-Asp for anticodon GUC
Rfam family: tRNA
About the family: Transfer RNA (tRNA) molecules are approximately 80 nucleotides in length.
Source: RNAcentral